GGCACAGCGUGGGCAGUGGGGCCUACAGGAUGACUGAUUUAGUCAACAGAGAUUCCGGCGCACUUCAGCAGGUAGUAAUGAUGGACAGAUGAAGACUCUGAGAUGACAGAAGGUGAUCUGUCUGGUGAUUGAGGACUCCCGGGGUCACAUCAGUGAUGAAAUGCAGGGGACCUGGUUGCCCCCAAGUUUCCUGGCCGUGUGUGAUCCUGAGGAGGUGAGCUUGUUUCUGGAGCUGUGCUUUAAGAUUCAUGUUACAUGCAAAGCUGUCCUCGUGUGACUAUGGACCUAUGGAGUUGGGUAAGUUAGUGACCAGCCGAAGCUCUGUCAGCGUGUAGCUGCAGGUAGUGCUCAGUUUUCGGGGAUCCUGUCCUAAGUAGUCAGCCUAAUAGAACUAUAAGGUUACUUAGGUCUGUGUCAAAGUUUUUUUGUUUUUGUUUUUGUUUUUUUUUCUUUUAAAGACGGGGUCUUUCUGUCACCCAGGCUGGAGUGCAGUGGCACGAUCUUGGCUUAUUGCAAACUCCGUCUCCCAGGUUCAAGUGAUUCUUCUGCCUCAGCCUCCUGAGUAGCUGGGACUAUAAGCAUGCACCACUAUGCCCGGCUAAUUUUUGUAUUUUAAGUAGAGACAGGGUUUUGCCAUGUUGCCCAGGGCAGUCUUGAACUCCUGACCCCAAGUGAUCUGCCUGCCUUGGCCUACCAAAGUGCUGGGAUUACAGGCAUUUCAGUAACAUUUACAUUUGGCCUUCCUUGUGUGCCCUGUUUGUUAGCUGUUCAUUACCAGAGGGCAAAGGUGCUUAGAACAUGAUUUGCCCACCCUGCAAGACCACAUAUUGCUGGAAGUUGAAGGCAGCAGAGGGCACCAUGGGCCACGAGGCCUGGUAGCCGCAAAUGUUCAGUGGUGGCUGGAGCUCAUGAUGCAUUCUUUGGUAGGACUUCAAGGGGUUCCAUGUAGCACACACUA
RNAcentral lists this long non-coding RNA (958 nucleotides) under Theropithecus gelada (gelada). RNAcentral describes it as "lncRNA (ENSTGEG00000009953.1)". Lineage: Eukaryota; Metazoa; Chordata; Mammalia; Primates; Cercopithecidae. The record is from RNAcentral.